This 440-nucleotide unclassified non-coding RNA is filed under the name Pedicularis bietii. RNAcentral's name for it is "trnH-psbA intergenic spacer". The record is from RNAcentral. Lineage: Eukaryota; Viridiplantae; Streptophyta; Magnoliopsida; Lamiales; Orobanchaceae.
GCCUUUCUAUUUCAUUCAUUUAAAAUUAAAAUAUCGCAAAAUUGUCUAUUAAGAAUUAAUAUUUUAUUAAUUUGAUUUUGAGAUAUUCGUUUCUUCAAAAAAAAAAUUAAAUUAAUCAGUAUCAAUUUAAUUAAUCAAAAUAGAAUUGACAAAACUUGCCAACCUUUUGACAAAAAAUAAGAUAAAUGACAACAAAAAAAAAUUCUACAAAACAAAAGAAUAAUACUCAAUUUAGUAAUCAAUCCUUAAGAAAAAAGAUAUUAUGUAAUUGUUUUUAUAGACAGAAAAAACCUAGGAAAGUACAAUACUACUUAUUGAAUCAUUGAAAAGAAAAUUAAGGAGCAAAAGCCCCUCUUGGUAAACCAAGAAAGAGUUUAUUGCUCCUUAAUAUUAUUAUUCUAUUUUCAAAACCUCCUAUACACUAGGACCAAGUCUUAUCC